RNAcentral lists this ribosomal RNA (431 nucleotides) under uncultured Hyphomicrobiales bacterium. RNAcentral describes it as "bacterial SSU rRNA". It matches the Rfam family "Bacterial small subunit ribosomal RNA", at positions 29 to 505 of the family's 1533-position model. The record is from RNAcentral. Lineage: Bacteria; Pseudomonadati; Pseudomonadota; Alphaproteobacteria; Hyphomicrobiales.
AGCGAACGCUGGCGGCAGGCCUCAUACAUGCAAGUCGAACGCCCCACUUGUGGGGAGUGGCAGACGGGUGCGUAACACGUGGGAACAUACCUUUUGGUUCGGAAUAAGCGCUGGAAACGGCGUCUAAUACCGGAUAGACCCUCCGGGGUAAAGAUUUAUCGCCAGAAGAGUGGCCCGCGGCUGAUUAGUUAGUUGGUGAGGUAACGGCUCACCAAGACGAUGAUCAGUAGCUGGUCUGAGAGGAUGAUCAGCCACACUGGGACUGAGACACGGCCCAGACUCCUACGGGAGGCAGCAGUAGGGAAUAUUGGACAAUGGGGGCAACCCUGAUCCAGCCAUGCCGCGUGAGUGAAGAAGGCCCUAGGGUUGUAAAGCUCUUUCGUCAGGGAAGAUAAUGACGGUACCUGAAAAAGAAGUCCCGGCUAACUUCG